GGGUUGUGAGGUUAAGCGACUAAGCGUACACGGUGGAUGCCCUGGCAGUCAGAGGCGAUGAAGGGCGUGCUAAUCUGCGAUAAGCGCCGGUAAGGUGAUAUGAACCGUUAUAACCGGCGAUACCCGAAUGGGGAAACCCAGUGUGAUUCGUCACACUAUCAUUAACUGAAUCCAUAGGUUAAUGAGGCGAACCGGGGGAACUGAAACAUCUAAGUACCCCGAGGAAAAGAAAUCAACCGAGAUUCCCCCAGUAGCGGCGAGCGAACGGGGAGGAGCCCAGAGCCUGAAUCAGCAUGUGUGUUAGUGGAAGCGUCUGGAAAGGCGCGCGAUACAGGGUGACAGCCCCGUACACAAAAGCGCAUGUGCUGUGAGCUCGAUGAGUAGGGCGGGACACGUGGUAUCCUGUCUGAAUAUGGGGGGACCAUCCUCCAAGGCUAAAUACUCCUGACUGACCGAUAGUGAACCAGUACCGUGAGGGAAAGGCGAAAAGAACCCCGGCGAGGGGAGUGAAAAAGAACCUGAAACCGUGUACGUACAAGCAGUGGGAGCACCCUUUGGGGUGUGACUGCGUACCUUUUGUAUAAUGGGUCAGCGACUUAUAUUCUGUAGCAAGGUUAACCGAAUAGGGGAGCCGGAGGGAAACCGAGUCUUAACCGGGCGUUAAGUUGCAGGGUAUAGACCCGAAACCCGGUGAUCUAGCCAUGGGCAGGUUGAAGGUUGGGUAACACUAACUGGAGGACCGAACCGACUAAUGUUGAAAAAUUAGCGGAUGACCUGUGGCUGGGGGUGAAAGGCCAAUCAAACCGGGAGAUAGCUGGUUCUCCCCGAAAGCUAUUUAGGUAGCGCCUCGUGAAUUCAUCUCCGGGGGUAGAGCACUGUUUCGGCUAGGGGGCCAUCCCGGCUUACCAACCCGAUGCAAACUGCGAAUACCGGAGAAUGUUAUCACGGGAGACACACGGCGGGUGCUAACGUCCGUCGUGAAGAGGGAAACAACCCAGACCGCCAGCUAAGGUCCCAAAGUCAUGGUUAAGUGGGAAACGAUGUGGGAAGGCCCAGACAGCCAGGAUGUUGGCUUAGAAGCAGCCAUCAUUUAAAGAAAGCGUAAUAGCUCACUGGUCGAGUCGGCCUGCGCGGAAGAUGUAACGGGGCUAAAC
RNAcentral lists this ribosomal RNA (1154 nucleotides) under Salmonella enterica subsp. enterica serovar Newport. RNAcentral's name for it is "bacterial LSU rRNA". It matches the Rfam family "Bacterial large subunit ribosomal RNA", at positions 1 to 1187 of the family's 2925-position model. The record is from RNAcentral. Lineage: Bacteria; Pseudomonadati; Pseudomonadota; Gammaproteobacteria; Enterobacterales; Enterobacteriaceae.